RNAcentral lists this long non-coding RNA (1100 nucleotides) under Homarus americanus (American lobster). RNAcentral describes it as "uncharacterized LOC121866807, transcript variant X3". Lineage: Eukaryota; Metazoa; Arthropoda; Malacostraca; Decapoda; Nephropidae. The record is from RNAcentral.
GAAAGUGGUUGGUCAUGGCCAAACUAUUUGGCCGAAUUUUGUGUUAAUACCUCAUCUAGUGGAUUUUGAAGACAUGUCUAACAGAUUUUCAAAUUUCUCAAUUGAAAGUUUUUGCAAAGUGUCUUACGACAGUGGUAGAAAAUAUAACAAAUUAUGGGAAGAAAAAUUCGUCUGUGUUAGUAUAGCCAGUGAUGGAAGUGAAAAUGCUCCAGUUCCAAGGAAAAUGUUGCAGAGAUUUGAAAGUAUCACCACACAUGGUGGAGCUAUUUAACUCUGCAAUCAUGUACGAGAAGGAAGAACCAGGGGACGGUGACGAACUGGACUCCACCAUUAUCAUGCUCCACCACCAUUUGAGUUUACGAUUUGAGUGGGAGGUGGAUGACCUUUGUAGGAUAUUUGACCUUGGCUGAAGCGUUUAUAUACAAUAUACAGAAGUGUGUGGGAGGUGUAAGAGCAUUCUUGGCUAUUUGACAUUGGCUGAAGUCUUAUACAGAUUUGAGUGGGAGGUGGAUGACCUUUGUAGGAUAUUUGACCUUGGCUGAAGCUUGCUGGCGCGGAGGGGUUCGAGACACUUGCAAUAUCACUUCCCGUCGGCCACCUCGCGCUGUAUAUACGUUUUAAAAAUACAAUACUGGAAAAGGCAGGAAACUGUACCAACAAAUGGGGUAUUUUUAGGGGGGAGGGGGUUCAGUUCAACUUAAAUAUAGUAUUUUUCCAGUAAUAUUGUGCUAAAUUAAUGCUGUACUGUAUAAUAGGUAAAUGAUUUAACUUGAACAGUAACUAUUGUGUACCGAUCAUAGUUAAUGUUAGUGAUCAAAUAUUACAGGUUAUACCUACUAAUUGUGCUGCGAGUGUUGUUCUCUGAAUUGUUGUUAUACAAGUUGAUUUGUCUUGAUAUAAGUGGAUAUUUGAACUUGAUAUAAGUAUAAUUUGUCUAUAAAGGUUGACGGUUUAAUGACUUAUUUCAGAUUUGAGUGGGAGGUGGAUGACCUUUGUCGGAUAUUUGACCUUGGCUGAAGCGUUUAUAUACAAUAUACAGAAGUGUGUGGGAGGUGGAAGAGCAUUCUUGGCUAUUUGACAUUGGCUGAAGUCUUAUACAG